Molecule: small RNA, 127 nt
Filed under: Marmota monax (woodchuck)
Lineage: Eukaryota; Metazoa; Chordata; Mammalia; Rodentia; Sciuridae
Source: RNAcentral
GCUGGGUGUGGUGGCCUGUACCUGUAAUCCCAGCAACUCAGGAAGCUGAGGCAGGAGAAUUGCAAGGUAGAGGCCAGCCUCAGCAACUUAAAGAGGCCCUCAGCAACUUAGCAAGACCCUGUCUCUA